This 377-nucleotide ribosomal RNA is filed under the name uncultured eukaryote. RNAcentral describes it as "partial 18S ribosomal RNA". It matches the Rfam family "Eukaryotic small subunit ribosomal RNA", at positions 592 to 976 of the family's 1831-position model. The record is from RNAcentral.
CAAUAGCGUAUAUUUAAGUUGCUGCAGUUAAAAAGCUCGUAGUUGGAUUUCGGGUGGGAAUGGCCGGUCCGCCGUUUCGGUGUGCACUUGCUACGCCCACCUUGCUGCCGGGGACGUGCUCUUGAGUUCACGCUCGGGACACGGAGUCGGCGAGGUUACUUUGAGUAAAUUAGAGUGUUCAAAGCAGGCCUACGCUCUGAAUACAUUAGCAUGGAAUAACACGAUAGGACUCUGGCCUAUCUUGUUGGUCUGUAGGACCGGAGUAAUGAUUAAGAGGGACAGUCGGGGGCAUUCGUAUUUCAUUGUCAGAGGUGAAACUCUUGGAUUUAUGAAAGACGAACUACUGCGAAAGCAUUUGCCAAGGAUGUUUUCAUUAA